UGAGGAAUAUUGGUCAAUGGACGAGAGUCUGAACCAGCCAAGUAGCGUGCAGGAUGACGGCCCUAUGGGUUGUAAACUGCUUUUGUUUGGGAAUAAUCGACAUUACGUGUAAUGUUUUGCAUGUACCAUUCGAAUAAGGAACGGCUAAUUCCGUGCCAGCAGCCGCGGUAAUACGGAAGGUUCAGGCGUUAUCCGGAUUUAUUGGGUCUAAAGGGAGUGUAGGCGGUUGGUUAAGCGUGUUGUGAAAUGUAGAUGCUCAACAUCUGACUUGCAGCGCGAACUGGCUGACUUGAGUAAACACAACGUAGGCGGAAUUCAUGGUGUAGCGGGGAAAUGCUUAGAUAUCAUGAAGAACUCCGAUUGCGAAGGAAGCUUACGCGGGUGUUACUGACGCUUACGCUCGCAGGUGCGGGUAUCGAACAGG
This 424-nucleotide ribosomal RNA is filed under the name Verrucomicrobiota bacterium. Its description in RNAcentral is "Verrucomicrobia bacterium partial 16S ribosomal RNA". It matches the Rfam family "Bacterial small subunit ribosomal RNA", at positions 355 to 776 of the family's 1533-position model. Lineage: Bacteria; Pseudomonadati; Verrucomicrobiota. The record is from RNAcentral.